Molecule: ribosomal RNA, 469 nt
Filed under: uncultured organism
Description: partial 16S ribosomal RNA
Rfam family: Bacterial small subunit ribosomal RNA
Source: RNAcentral
ACUCCUACGGGAGGCAGCAGUGGGGAAUUUUGGACAAUGGGCGAAAGCCUGAUCCAGCAAUGCCGCGUGAGUGAAGAAGGCCUUCGGGUUGUAAAGCUCUUUUGUCAGGGAAGAAACGGUGAAAGCUAAUAUCUUUUGCUAAUGACGGUACCUGAAGAAUAAGCACCGGCUAACUACGUGCCAGCAGCCGCGGUAAUACGUAGGGUGCAAGCGUUAAUCGGAAUUACUGGGCGUAAAGCGUGCGCAGGCGGUUUUGUAAGUCUGAUGUGAAAUCCCCGGGCUCAACCUGGGAAUUGCAUUGGAGACUGCAAGGCUAGAAUCUGGCAGAGGGGGGUAGAAUUCCACGUGUAGCAGUGAAAUGCGUAGAUAUGUGGAGGAACACCGAUGGCGAAGGCAGCCCCCUGGGUCAAGAUUGACGCUCAUGCACGAAAGCGUGGGGAGCAAACAGGAUUAGAUACCCUGGUAGUCC